GGGAGUUUGUUAGGAAAAUGUGUAAUUGGCAAUCUGUGACCAAAGGACCUAUUUGUCAAAAUUGUAAAGUCAAGGACCAAAUUGUAAAGGUCUAAUAGUUCAGGGACUAAAGUUGCAAUUUAGCAAAGUUCAUAGCAUAGGUCUAGGGUAAAGUGAGAUGCUUUGAAGAUGCAAACGGCGCGUUGAUUUCGCUAGAGUUUCGCCCUGACCUCGCUCGAGCCUAAAUU
Molecule: long non-coding RNA, 227 nt
Filed under: Olea europaea (common olive)
Lineage: Eukaryota; Viridiplantae; Streptophyta; Magnoliopsida; Lamiales; Oleaceae
Description: long non-coding RNA (OEUR_LNC003336)
Source: RNAcentral